ACAGGCUACUUCUCCUAAUUAAGAUCUCAUUCAGAAGAUGCCUUCUGGCAGGGCAAUUAAAAUGAAAAGGGAAUGAAUGUGCUUGUUUGGAGUAAAUAUAAACAGCUGCAAGGCUACACCUUGGGAAGCAAUUUUAAAGUUAGGAAAGUUCUGUAGUGGGAGAGGAAAAGAUUUUCUCACCUGCUUUUUGUGUUUGUUUUUACAAAAAGCUUGCUACCAUUUGGGGUAGCUAAAGACUGUGGUAUUCUUAUAAAUCACUGGGGUUGAAUUGAAAGGGCUUUUUCAUUUGGCAACAAGAGAAAGAUUUGGAUUUAGUUGUGAAAAUUGAGAUGCUUCCGGAAAUCAAGUCUAUUAAAUCUUAUCCUGUUUGAUGGAGGCAGAAAGCACCCCAAGUGCUCGCAGUGGAAGAUGUGUGGCCAGCACUUGACCCUGCUCUGGUUCCUGCUUCCAUCAUCUGGGACCUCUGGCUUACCUCCUUAGCUAUCCCACCUUCAGAAGAGGUCUUUGCCUUGCUGGGCGUACCCACUCCUGCUCUGCCAUGGUUCAUGUAGUAAAGCUCAACUACUUGUGGAUGGAGGAGUCAAACCAGUGUUUUCUAGAGACUUUUCCCAUCCCAGAGAGGUUUGUUCUGAGAUGGUUCAUCUAAAGGUACACAGAGAAAUGGUACGUGGCAGAAGGACUAGCCAAAGAGCACCAGAGUCACCAAAAGCCUCAGAUGUAGCCUGAGACAGCAGAGAAAUUACCACAAUGCAGGGAAAAGAGCCAAAAGGUGAAAUUAAAUUCCAGUUUGAAUGCUUACAAGGUCCUGAACUGCACAGAUGCUUAUUCUGUACUGUGACCCUUUGCUGAUCAUAACAGUUCAUCUGCUCAGGACAGCUAUUCUCAAAAGAUGUAAAACAGCAAACUUUGUAUUUCCUGAUGAAGAUACAAUGGAAGAUUUCAUAUAACUCUAGUGAGAUGAGGUUCAUGCUCAGUUGUUUUCUUCUGUAAAUAAGAAAAUCUUUUAUACAUAUUGUAGAAAAAAAUAUAUUGAGUCUUGAUGGCAUAGAAGUCUACCCUCUUUUAUAAAACAUUGAAACCAUUACAUAUUACGAGUGAUUGUCUAAUAUGUCAUAAAAAUAUUUUACCAUGAGUAUUUUGCAGAUAUGGUUAUAUGUUUAUUGUGGUAAUUGGGAUCUGGAAAGUUUUCCUUAAGUCUCUUUAUUAAAGGCUUAGUAGACGUUUUUAUUACAUUUUAGGGGAAAACUAUGGCCUACUCCCUUACAGCACAGUCUAAGUUCAAUAAAAGCUGAUCCCUGGAAUUCACUGUUAACUCACG
This is a long non-coding RNA of Oxyura jamaicensis (ruddy duck), 1318 nucleotides long. RefSeq lists it as uncharacterized. The transcript is spliced from 5 exons. The record is from RefSeq and is a predicted model, not a curated record. NCBI's taxonomy places the organism in Eukaryota, Metazoa, Chordata, Aves, Anseriformes, Anatidae.